This 401-nucleotide ribosomal RNA is filed under the name uncultured Oscillospiraceae bacterium. RNAcentral describes it as "bacterial SSU rRNA". It matches the Rfam family "Bacterial small subunit ribosomal RNA", at positions 355 to 772 of the family's 1533-position model. Lineage: Bacteria; Bacillati; Bacillota; Clostridia; Eubacteriales; Oscillospiraceae. The record is from RNAcentral.
UGGGGGAUAUUGCACAAUGGGGGAAACCCUGAUGCAGCGACGCCGCGUGAGGGAAGAAGGUUUUCGGAUUGUAAACCUCUGUCUUCAGUGACGAAAAUGACGGUAAACUGAGGAGGAAGCCACGGCUAACUACGUGCCAGCAGCCGCGGUAAUACGUAGGUGGCAAGCGUUGUCCGGAAUUACUGGGUGUAAAGGGAGCGUAGGCGGGAAGACAAGUUGAAUGUGAAAUGCAGAGGCUCAACCUCUGAACUGCGUUCAAAACUGCCAUUCUUGAGUGAAGUAGAGGUAAGCGGAAUUCCUAGUGUAGCGGUGAAAUGCGUAAAUAUUAGGAGGAACACCAGUGGCGAAGGCGGCUUGCUGGACGAUGACUGACGUUGAGGCUCGAAAGCGUGGGGAGCAAG